AGAACGAACGCUGGCGGCAGGCUUAACACAUGCAAGUCGAACGGUUGUAGCAAUACAGCAGUGGCAGACGGGUGAGUAACACGUGGGAACCUUCCUAGGGGUACGGAACAACUCAGGGAAACUUGAGCUAAUACCGUAUACGUCCGUGAGGAGAAAGAUUUAUCGCCCUAGACGGGCCCGCGUAGGAUUAGGUAGUUGGUGAGGUAACGGCUCACCAAGCCUACGAUCCUUAGCUGAUCUGAGAGGAUGAUCAGCCACACUGGGACUGAGACACGGCCCAGACUCCGUACGGGAGGCAGCAGUGGGGAAUCGUUGGACAAGUGGGCGCAAGCCUGAUCCAGCCAUCGCCGCGUGAGGUGAAGAGGCCGUUCGGGUUAGUUAAAGCUUCUUUACCGACGGGAAGUACUAAGU
Molecule: ribosomal RNA, 411 nt
Filed under: uncultured soil bacterium
Lineage: Bacteria
Description: bacterial SSU rRNA
Rfam family: Bacterial small subunit ribosomal RNA
Source: RNAcentral